UACAGAGGGGGCAAGCGUUAUUCGGAAUUAUUGGGCGUAAAGGGCGCGUAGGCGGCCUUGUAAGUCUUGGGUGAAAUCCCUCAGCUCAACUGAGGAACUGCCUCGGAUACUGCAGGGCUUGAGGCCGGGAGAGGGUAGUGGAAUUCCCAGUGUAGCGGUGAAAUGCGUAGAUAUUGGGAGGAACACCGGUGGCGAAGGCGGCUACCUGGACCGGUUCUGACGCUGAUGCGCGAAAGCGUGGGGAGCAAAC
This 250-nucleotide ribosomal RNA is filed under the name uncultured bacterium. Its description in RNAcentral is "partial 16S ribosomal RNA". It matches the Rfam family "Bacterial small subunit ribosomal RNA", at positions 524 to 773 of the family's 1533-position model. The record is from RNAcentral.